RNAcentral lists this long non-coding RNA (884 nucleotides) under Gossypium barbadense (sea-island cotton). RNAcentral's name for it is "long non-coding RNA (GBAR_LNC022032)". Lineage: Eukaryota; Viridiplantae; Streptophyta; Magnoliopsida; Malvales; Malvaceae. The record is from RNAcentral.
GCGUAGCGGCGGUGGCGGCAGCGACUGGUGGUGGUGGGUUUAUUGCAGUCAGAAGAUGCUGGAAUCGACUGUACCUUGCAUGACUUAAAUGGUAAAUUAUAUGAAACUGCGGUUCAUAAUAAAGCGGUAAUUAUUAUUAUUUUCUUGGUCGUUCGUUUGUUUCCACUAGGAAGGAACCAAAAUAUAUACUGCUGUUUUAGUUUUUUUUUUUUAGUUAAAGUUGCUAUGUUUUUUUUUCUUGAAUUUUGCCUAUAUCUUUAGUAAUUUUGUUAAUAUUAGUUAAAUUUAUUUUUAGUAAUUUAUUAUUUUUUAAAAUUAAUUUAGAAUGUGUUUGAUAAAAGUAAAUAUUGAUUUUGAAUAAUUUUGGAUCAAAGAUAAAUAUAUUAAUUUGAUUUUUUAAUAAAAUAAAAUCAAUUUAAUAUUAUUUACUAAUAAGUAUUUAUCUAUCUACUUAUCUCAUUCCAAUAAUUUUUUUAAAUAUAUAUUAAAUAUACAAAAUUUUCAAUGGUAAAACACAUCAUAAAAAGGUGAUAUUAUUAGAAAAACCUUUAAAAAAAAUUCUUUUUUCUUCAAGUGUUUGUUUAUUUUUUGUUUUGCCCAGCAGCAAUGGUGCAGCUUCCGGGCUAACUAUUGCUUGCCUUCUUCUCCCUCCCACCAACCCUCUCUUUUUUUCUUUUUUUUUUCUCAUUUAUUUCACGUGUCUUUUCUUUUUUCAAUUUGCAGAUCUAUUAUGUGGGUAUUCUUGUUGUCUUCACAAGUUAUGUUAAGUAGAUGAUAGCGUUUGUCGUUUGCUAAAACUCCAUCGGCCACUAGUAGUUUUUCUUGGAAAGUGGGUGACUUUUCGUCAGCUUCUUAAUUUGUUUUGAGAUAAAUGAUUUCAUGAG